AGCUCAAAUGGCGUAUGUUAAAGUUGCUCUGGUUAAAGCAAUCAUAGUUGGUUUUCUGUUGGGGACGACCGAUCAGCCCUCUGGGUCAGCAUCUGGCUCGGCCUUGGCAUCUUUUUGUGUGAACGUAGUUGCAUUUGAUUGAGCGGUGCGGCGCCCGGGAUUUUUAUUUUGCGGCAAUUAGAGCGUUUUGAGCAGGCAUACGCUUUGAAUAUAUCAGCAUGGAAUAGUAUGAUAGGACCUCGGUUCCAUUUUGUUGGUUUCUAGAGUUGAGGUAAUGAUUGGUAGGGAUAGUUGGGACAUUCGCAUUUAAUGGUGAAAGGUGAAAUGUUUGGAUCUUUUAAAGGCGCAGUAUUGCGAAGGCAUUUGCCAAGGAUGUUU
RNAcentral lists this ribosomal RNA (378 nucleotides) under uncultured eukaryote. RNAcentral's name for it is "SSU rRNA". It matches the Rfam family "Eukaryotic small subunit ribosomal RNA", at positions 587 to 969 of the family's 1831-position model. The record is from RNAcentral.